RNAcentral lists this long non-coding RNA (4769 nucleotides) under Homo sapiens (human). RNAcentral describes it as "HSALNT0119231". The record is from RNAcentral. Lineage: Eukaryota; Metazoa; Chordata; Mammalia; Primates; Hominidae.
UAUACAGUUAAUAAUGAUUCUAUCUUUAGAAUAGAAAUAAAGCUCACAGAACGGGGUGAUCAGAACAAAUUUCAUGGAGGAGUAGGUCUUGAAAGCUGCAUAGCAUUUCUAAAGCUUUUGUUGUUGUUGCUAAAUAUAACACAGGGAUAUUAAAAUGCAUAAAGUGAAAAAUCAUCAGACAAAUAUUCACAUAACCAUCAUCCUACCUGCCUCAGCAUUCAACAGUAUGUUCAUUCCUUCAUUCUCACCUUACAGAUAACUGCUCUAUUAAAUAUGAUGGGAAUCAUAGCUUUGCAUUACUUUAUUCUUUGGCUAUUUGAAUAUGCAUCUCUAAACAAGGUAAUUUUUUUCCUAUUUUUAAAUUUUACAAAAUUGGAAACUGGUAGUAUAUAUUCUUCUGUAUCUGACUUCUUUGGCACGAUGCUGUGUUUUUAGUAUUCGUCCAUGAGAUCCAUUGCUUCUUCAUUUAUUUUCAGUGCUCUGGUUCAUUCUAUGAAUAUAUAAUUGAUUAAUUUAUUCUUUCUUUGAUGUGCUUUGAGUUAAACUCCUAAUGCAUCCCUUGACACUUGUUCCAAUUUACCUGAAGAAUGGCGAUUCCAUCCUGCAUUUGUUUAGGCCAAAAGCCUUAGGGCUGACCUGACUCUUGCUUUCUCUCAUAGCUGCACAUCCAGUCUGCCAGGAAAUCCUGUCACUACUACCUUCAAAACAGAGCCACAGUUUGACCACUUCAAGACUGGGUUAUGUUUGCCUCUUAGCUGGUGUUCCUGCUUCUACCCUUACAUCUCCCUUACAAUCUGUUCUAAAACCAGCAGCCAGAGUGACUUUUGCCACUCCAUAAAACAUAAAUGGAAUCAUGUCAUGCCUCACUCCCUGCAAAGACCCACCAUUUCACUAAAAACAAAGUCAAGGUCCGAACCAUGACCUACGUAAUCUAGCCCUGGGUUUCUUCUCUCAGCAUUAUCUUCUACUUCUCUUCCCUUCUUUGCUCUGACCCCAUGGGCCUCCUGGCUGUUGUUUGAACAUGCCAGGCAUGGUUUCCCUUCAAACGUUGGCAUUAGCUGUUCCCUCUGUCUGGAAUGAUUUUUCUGCCCAAUAAAGAGAUGACUUUCAUGGAUUGCAUAAAAACACGUAUGUACAAAUGUUUCCUUAACUAUAGGUAUCAAAUAAAGUUCUCUACUAUUAUGAUUUUAAUAAUAAAUAUCUAUUGGCAUUAUUCCUUAUUUCUUUAGAAUGAAUUUGAUUUACCGAUGCAUUGGAAUCUUGCUAGGAUAGCACACGUCAUAUACACAGUUUUAGUUACAGCAUUGAUGAAAUCACAAUCUCUGGAACACUAAUCUUUUAGGUAUGUGCCAUUACUCUCUGCAAGAUAAUAGUUGCCAUUUGUUUAGUACUCACUAUGAGCCAGGCCCUGGAUUUAAAAUGCAUUAUCUGAUUUAAUCCUCACCUCGACCCUAUGAGAUUGGAAAUAUUUUUUCCCAAUUUAACAGAUGAGGAAAUUAAGCCCCAAAGUAUUAAAUAACUCUCUUAAGCCCACAGUCAGUAAAUGUGCUAGUUUUCAAACAUGAGCCUGUCUGACUCCAAAGUCCUAUAUACCACAAAGUCUUCUUUGCUCCACAUAUCAAAACUGGAAAAACAUCACUGUGAAUUUUUUCAGAUUUAUCUGAUAUGUAAUGCUCUUGAAAUUACUUGAACUAUUUUGGAUGCCAGAGUAAUUUAAUGAUGGGAGAAAAUAAUUCCAUGCUCUAAAUUCAAUUACUACCCUGUUUCCAUUUAGUAAUCAAGGAAACAUGGAAAACUCCUGAUAUACAGUAAAACAUAUAAAAACAAAAUGUCAAAAUAAAUUAAAAGUGCAAUAGGGGAAAAGAAACAAAUAUGAAGCAUGUUUGAGAGGACCACGAAGAGUUCAUUUAAGGGCAAGGAGUUCCAGAAUGUUAUACAACAUCGAAACACAAAAGAAUCAGAAGUAAUUUUUUUCUGUAACAACUGAGCUCAUGAAGUUGAGCCGUGUGAUGGUAAACCCAAGGGUAUGGAUGAUCUAAAAUCACAUAGAUCCAUGCUGAUAUGUUACUAGUUGCCAAGCAAACAAAUGGCCACAUUGCAGUUCAACGUAAGAGUUUUUGCCAUUCUUUCCCUUUGCCUGGCAUGUGAAAAUGCAAUAAGUAGCUUUAGAGCCAAAUGGAAUAUACAAAUGUGUAGCAAUGUCAUCUUUGCUAUUCUAUUCUGGUCAAGAGAAGGCAUAUGCUGAUUGAGAAGAUACCAACAUAUACAGCUGCUAAUAGUUACUCUAACUCAACAUGUGUUAAGACCAAAGAAUAGUUGUCAUCUGGCGCAAGUGCUGAGCCUCUUUCAGAUGAGGCAAUGGGGUACAAGUCUAUUACCUCUAGCUCAGAAACACUAUUCACCAACUACCCAAUAAUAAACACAUCUAUUCCACUUGUUUUAAGGCUUUUUAGAAAUCAUUAACUCAAAGUAUCUUUGUAAUUGAUACACAUCUGCAGACCACAGGGUAGCUGGGACAUAAUAGUUAUAAUGAAAGAAUGAUCAAGUGCCAACAUGGAAGGGUGUCUCAUAAGAGCCUAGACAUUAUAAAUAUAAUGUCAUAUCUUGCCUUUGGAAGGUCAGGGAAAAUAUACUUGUCUAUUCACUAAAUAUACUUAAGGCCUUGCUAAAUUAUUAUUCAUUUGAAAAAAAAAGCUUUGGAGAUAACAGAAUAUUAUAAAAUAUAAAAUAAUUGAAAUCAUGGUUGUUUUCCAUCCACACAGAGGGAAAAUGUUCAUAGUGUUGGGGGAAGAAAAGACCAAAUGAUUAACGUGGCUAAGAGCUCUUACAUCUUGAUGAGAAAAUAUUUAACCUCUCUUGGCCAUCAGAAACCUGACUGAGCAUGUUCUCAGUUUUGUCUGCCAAAGGCUAUUUUGGAAUCUGGGAACAAUUGUUUUAAAAGGAAAGAAAUUGUCUAGUCUAGAUUCCAGAGGCGUGUGUUGAGACCUUCCUCUCAUUUCUUUCAUUUACUCAACAAAUAUUUAAGGCAGUAUUGCAUACAAUGAUGAUACAACAAUGAACAAGACAGACAAAGCUCCUGCUCUUCAGGAUUCUACAUGCUACUGGUGGAGGAGACAAGGUCUCAGGAAAGGAGUGGGUAAAACACUUAUCUCCAGAAAGCCAGCAAGAGGGAAGAAGGAAGAAAACCCCAUCCUGCAUGGUAUGAUGCUGAGAUUCCUCACAUAUCUUCAAAGCAUCCUAAGAAACCACGGGAAGAAAUGAAAGGAUUCUCCAUCAGCCAGAUGGUGUGAGCGAGAAGUCAAGUGAAGACAAACCUUCGAUUCUCCCUCUGCCUGGAAGCUGCUGGCAUCUCCGUCCAAGUGCUGAACAAAUGGGACUUUGUGUGCUCUCAUGAGCGAUCUCUUUGAUGUUCUGGCAUCCCGAUUGGCAGCUUUUCAUAUCUGGCCAUCUUAGAGCAGGGGAGAUUGAGAAACAGAGAGAGGAAGAACCAGGGAAAGAAGUCUGGCUCCAAGCCCAGUGGGUAAACAUGCUGGCUGCCUUCUCACACAGAUUACUUUUCAAAAAUGAAAAGGGAGUGUCCAGCUUCGUUUGGAAUAAAGAUGAGGAAAUGACUCUCAGCUGUCCACACACAACAAAACAACCAACCACUACAGAGUAGGGGAGCCUUCCAUCCAAGGUAGACCAGAUGGGAUUUGUCUCCCAGACCCAGAAUAUAUGUUCCCCUUCAAGAAUGUUUAUACUGAUAGUAUCCUGAGGUUGGGGACAUUUUAAUGAGAUCCAUAGUCCUUACUUUCUGCAAAGAAUACACAGUCACAAACUUUCCUUCAGGACAAGAGCAGCUUUGCUUUCCUGAGUGCUUUCUAAAUCUAAUUAUAUAGAUGGAGGCUGUGUGGCCUUUUGUUUUGAGUUCAGAAUUAUGGGUUUGAAAGUCUGAGGUCCAAUUGUAGUUUUAUACCUAACUUCUUGUGUGGCCCUUCACAAGCAAUUAUUUCCUGUCUUAUUUUUCUGAACUGUUGAUGGGAUUAAGCUGGUAAUAGUGGAGGGGGAAGGGGUUUAUAUCUAGUUUUAAAUUCUUAGAAUUGAUUUCAAGACAACAAAUUAUCAAGCAUCUACUCUCAACUUAGUAGUGGGCUAAUAGAAAGAAGAAAAAUAUAUAGAAGAAAACUAUAGGGACUCUGUAUUCAAGAACCUUGUAAAUGACUUGACAAAACUUAAGUAUCAUACAUAAGCAAGGCAGUAUCCAGUCCAAUAUAUAUAAUUGGAUAACAUUAGCUAUAAAUACUGUAAUAAUUAGAAAAAAAUUAACACAUUACUAUUAGUGGGGUUAUUUGGCAUAGGUUUAUAAAACAGAAUAAAUUUCAGAUUAACUGUAAGAAGAAAGAAAUAAUGUAUUGACUUGUAAAGAGGAGAGGCAGUCAAAAAAAAUCAUUCCAUCUUUUAGAUAAAAAAUGAGCACCAAAUGGCUUUAUCAUGGUUAACAUCGAGGUUAACCAAAAUAUGAUCUGAUUAUCCUGAGUAGUUUGGAGACCUAUUAAAUUAAAAACAAAUGCUUAUGAAGAGAUACUUUGCCAAAUUUCUAGUGAGAUUAUAGCAGGAUUACCACAAGGUAAGUGACUUUUUAAGAUAUUGAGCCACUGUAUCUGGUCCCCUGACUCCUAACAUCAUCCCAAAGUAUUUUUUUACCUACUGUUUCUUCAUAUUUGUAUUUUCUGUUUCCCAAAAUGACAGUGUGUUUAAGCUUUGCUUAAAAGGCUUAAAGUUGUAUGCCU